UAGAACAUGAUCAGUGAGACGUAUGGUU
This 28-nucleotide small RNA is filed under the name Bombyx mori (domestic silkworm). RNAcentral describes it as "piRNA piR-bmo-1512993". The record is from RNAcentral. Lineage: Eukaryota; Metazoa; Arthropoda; Insecta; Lepidoptera; Bombycidae.